RNAcentral lists this ribosomal RNA (447 nucleotides) under uncultured bacterium. Its description in RNAcentral is "partial 16S ribosomal RNA". It matches the Rfam family "Bacterial small subunit ribosomal RNA", at positions 338 to 795 of the family's 1533-position model. The record is from RNAcentral.
CCUACGGGUGGCAGCAGUCGAGAAUCAUUCACAAUGGGGGGAAACCCUGAUGGUGCGACGCCGCGUGGGGGAAUGAAGGUCUUCGGUUUGUAAACCCCUGUCAUGUGGGAGCAAAUUAAAAAGAUAGUACCACAAGAGGAUGAGACGUCUAACUCUGUGCCAGCAGCCGCAGUAAUACAGAGUUCUCAAGCGUUGUUCGGAAUCACUGGGCGUAAAGCGUGCGUAGGCUGUUUCGUAAGUCGUGUGUGAAAGGCGCGGGCUCAACCCGCGAACGGCACAUGAUACUGCGAGACUAGAGUAAUGGAGGGGGAGCCGGAAUUCUCGGUGUAGCAGUGAAAUGCGUAGAUAUCGAGAGGAACACUCGUGGCGAAGGCGGGUUCCUGGACAUUAACUGACGCUGAGGCACGAAGGCCAGGGGAGCGAAAGGGAUUAGAUACCCCAGUAGUC